GCGGGGGUAGCCAAGCGGUCAAAGGCGCACGGCUCAAGACCGUGUGGCUUAGUGCCUUCGCAGGUUCGAAAAUAAGGGCGCCUUCCCCGCCCU
The sequence is a transfer RNA, 93 nucleotides long. The stretch from base 1 to 62 matches the Rfam family "tRNA". Rfam says of the family: Transfer RNA (tRNA) molecules are approximately 80 nucleotides in length. Their secondary structure includes four short double-helical elements and three loops (D, anti-codon, and T loops).